RNAcentral lists this ribosomal RNA (936 nucleotides) under Triticum aestivum (bread wheat). Its description in RNAcentral is "partial small subunit ribosomal RNA". Lineage: Eukaryota; Viridiplantae; Streptophyta; Magnoliopsida; Poales; Poaceae. The record is from RNAcentral.
AUGGAGCAGUUCGAGGACGGCCACCACGUGCGGCUGCGGAGCCGCGAGCGCGGCACGUACCUGCACGCGGACGAUGACGGGCUUGGCGUCUCCCUCAGCCGGCGCCGCGCGUCGAUGAACUCGGCUUGGGCGGUGCACAUCUACCAGGGAGAUGGCAACAACCAGUACGUGCUCCUCCACAGCGCCGCCUACGGCCGCUACCUCGGCACCACGGGCGCGCCGGCGCCGCGAGGCCACAGCGACUAUGAGCCGUGGGAGGAGGUGGUCAUCAGGUGGCAGGCCGUCAGGACCGACUCGGGGGACGAUAUCCUGCUCCGCCAAGUCGCCGGCCGCCUCCGCGCCAACGGGAAGUACCUCAGCGUCGACGACUUCAACAGCGCCGGCCCGAUGAUGCACUGGGUCGUGGAGCGCAUCCCCGCCAGGGAGGACACGCCUCGCCUUGCAGCUCCGACUGGGGUGAGUCCGCCAUGCCCGCUUCUUCAUACUUCUCGAACUGCUUUCAGCGGAACUAUCGAUUGGGCGAAUUGGGUUCUUGUUUGUCGUUACAAUUGGGGAUUUGUGUCCGAUAAAAUAAUUGAGUACCCUGCUUCGUAUUUGAUGGUUCUUUGUGCUCAACUGCAGCUCCGCUUCCCCAGAAGCCUCGCCUUCCUGUUGCCGUGGCGGGUGAUCCAGUACGAGCAGGCCGGCGCCGGCGAUCCCAACGCCAACUUCGCCUGGGCCUCACUCGUAUUCAGGGGCAGGUCCAUGUUCCACCUGAGGAAGAAGCUGGCCCGCCGGCUGGAUGCCGCCAUGGACGCCUCCAACCUCGUCAUGUGCGUCCGAGCGGGUACGCACGGACGGCCUACCCCACUGCUCGCCGAUCUGCCCCACAGCGACGAGACCCUCGACAUCAUCGUCGUCAUGGCCGGGACGCCAGGUGAGACACGCCAUUGCUAA